Molecule: ribosomal RNA, 1366 nt
Filed under: Microbacterium testaceum
Lineage: Bacteria; Bacillati; Actinomycetota; Actinomycetes; Micrococcales; Microbacteriaceae
Description: bacterial SSU rRNA
Rfam family: Bacterial small subunit ribosomal RNA
Source: RNAcentral
GGUGAAGCCAAGCUUGCUUGGUGGAUCAGUGGCGAACGGGUGAGUAACACGUGAGCAACCUGCCCUGGACUCUGGGAUAAGCGCUGGAAACGGCGUCUAAUACUGGAUAUGAGACGUGAUCGCAUGGUCGUGUUUGGAAAGAUUUUUCGGUCUGGGAUGGGCUCGCGGCCUAUCAGCUUGUUGGUGAGGUAAUGGCUCACCAAGGCGUCGACGGGUAGCCGGCCUGAGAGGGUGACCGGCCACACUGGGACUGAGACACGGCCCAGACUCCUACGGGAGGCAGCAGUGGGGAAUAUUGCACAAUGGGCGAAAGCCUGAUGCAGCAACGCCGCGUGAGGGAUGACGGCCUUCGGGUUGUAAACCUCUUUUAGCAGGGAAGAAGCGAAAGUGACGGUACCUGCAGAAAAAGCGCCGGCUAACUACGUGCCAGCAGCCGCGGUAAUACGUAGGGCGCAAGCGUUAUCCGGAAUUAUUGGGCGUAAAGAGCUCGUAGGCGGUUUGUCGCGUCUGCUGUGAAAUCCCGAGGCUCAACCUCGGGCCUGCAGUGGGUACGGGCAGACUAGAGUGCGGUAGGGGAGAUUGGAAUUCCUGGUGUAGCGGUGGAAUGCGCAGAUAUCAGGAGGAACACCGAUGGCGAAGGCAGAUCUCUGGGCCGUAACUGACGCUGAGGAGCGAAAGGGUGGGGAGCAAACAGGCUUAGAUACCCUGGUAGUCCACCCCGUAAACGUUGGGAACUAGUUGUGGGGACCAUUCCACGGUUUCCGUGACGCAGCUAACGCAUUAAGUUCCCCGCCUGGGGAGUACGGCCGCAAGGCUAAAACUCAAAGGAAUUGACGGGGGACCCGCACAAGCCGGCGGAGCAUGCCGGAUUAAUUCGAUGCAACGCGAAAAAACCUUACCAAGGGCUUGACAUAUACGAGAACGGGCCAGAAAUGGUCAACUCUUUGGACACUCGUAAACAGGUGGUGCAUGGUUGUCGUCAGCUCGUGUCGUGAGAUGUUGGGUUAAGUCCCGCAACGAGCGCAACCCUCGUUCUAUGUUGCCAGCACGUAAUGGUGGGAACUCAUGGGAUACUGCCGGGGUCAACUCGGAGGAAGGUGGGGAUGACGUCAAAUCAUCAUGCCCCUUAUGUCUUGGGCUUCACGCAUGCUACAAUGGCCGGUACAAAGGGCUGCAAUACCGUGAGGUGGAGCGAAUCCCAAAAAGCCGGUCCCAGUUCGGAUUGAGGUCUGCAACUCGACCUCAUGAAGUCGGAGUCGCUAGUAAUCGCAGAUCAGCAACGCUGCGGUGAAUACGUUCCCGGGUCUUGUACACACCGCCCGUCAAGUCAUGAAAGUCGGUAACACCUGAAGCCGGUGGCCCAACC